UGGACUUAAUUCUAGUAGAGAAGACAGGGGCUGGGCUGGAGAGAUGGCUCAGCCGUUAAAGGCUAGGCUCACAACCAAAAAUA
Molecule: microRNA precursor, 83 nt
Filed under: Microtus ochrogaster (prairie vole)
Lineage: Eukaryota; Metazoa; Chordata; Mammalia; Rodentia; Cricetidae
Description: miRNA (ENSMOCG00000010031.1)
Source: RNAcentral